ACUUUAAUACCAUCUGCGCAUCGUUUUUCUUUGCCAUCACCCCCAAUCAGCUAUAACCAUAACAGUUGUAAAAUCAAAGUGAAACCGAAGUCUGUUGCAGAUCCCUCUACGUGGUACCAAGCAGUCAGCGCGAAGGCGAGAAAGAGAGGCCGAUAGUGAAGAAACCGCCGAGUGCGGAGCCCAACCACACGAGCGGCGAAGCCGAGACCAAAACGAAGCAUAAGGGCCGCCUCUGUCAUAUGUUGUGACGACUAAGUUUCAACUGGAGUAGCCAGAGCAGUACGGAAAAAGCCGACAAAGUGGACAGAGUAAAGCCGUCCAAAUCGAUCGACUAGUCCGCUCGGACGCUCCUUCACGUCUGUUAAACAUUAGAUACUUGUACAUUUCGACUAUUAGACACUUUUAUAUUAGCUAGAACAACGUGGGAUACCUUUCGUUUCACUUGAACAAAAUUAUUAAAAAUACAUUGAAUAAUGCCAUCCAAAUUGUGGGGUAGAUAGAUAUAACUGUGCCGAUAGCGUCUAAAAUCCACGCACGUGAUUGGUUGUUCCACGAAAGGACAGUGUCAUGCCAAAGGUAUGAAACUUAAAUAAUAAUCUUGUUCAUUAAAACGAAUUUUCGAGAUGACACUAAAAUGUAAUUGUAGUAUUUUAAUCUCUACGUCGUCGUUCGACGGUAUGGUUUCCUGUAAAAUCUAGGUAAAUGUUUAUUCUAAUUAAUGUAUUAUUUACAUAGACUGUGAUCUAGUAUUACUUCACGAGAUUCUAUUUUAAAACUACUAAUUAGGACAGCCAUAGACUCUGCUUGCUAUUAAAUAAAAACUUUUAACGUUUCAAUAGAUGAAAAAAAAACUUUUCUUAAAAAUAAACAAAAAUCUUCGUCUGUGGUCAACUAUUUUACUUUUAAAAUAGAAUAUUCGUCUCUUGGCCUGUGAAAUAAAGUUUAUGGAAUAAAACCGUAAGUAAUAAGUAUGAAUUAAGAGAUUUUUAAUAAGUUUACAUAAUAUCCUCGAUCAAUUAAAUUGUUGAUAAUUUAUUUCAAGUUUUACUUUGUUAAAGCAGAAAGUAUUAAUAUGAUGCUAGUCGUUUAGUUUCAAAUAAUUCAAAUGAUGACACAAUUAUUAAUAUAAUUAUUACUUACAUUAUAUUUUUUCUGAGGCGCGUUGAACUAAUACGUCCAUACUGCUUAUGAAGCUAUUAGAAGUGCAAUAUUUAGUUACAAUAAUUUUAGUUAUGCUUAUUUAUAAAAAAAAAGGUUGCGAAGGUUAUAAAAGAAAAAUUAUUUAUAAUAAAUAUUAAGUAGGCUCCUUCUGUUUUAUGAUAAGAUUUCGUAAGAAGUGUAUUAUUUUAAAUAUUGUUUUAUUUUUGCAAAAAUAAAAGAGGAUUUGUAGUUGAUUAGUGAAUUUUGUUGAAUACGAUGAUUACUUACUAAAGAAGUAGCUUAGAAAAGUUUAAAGAUUGACGAGUUUAAAACAUUUCGUGAUUAAAUCUUCGCUAAGUUAAAUAAAAAGCAAUCAUUUUAAUAAAAUAAAAAGUUAAUUAAAAAUUGUAAUUCUUAACAAGUUCUUAAACCAAAACUAAAAGCAUUUUACAGUAAUUUUACAUUUUAAAUUCUAUUUUGAAAGCCUUUUUAAUAAUUACAUGUUUUAAAAUGUGCAAUUUUUGCUGUUGUUAUAGAUUUUAACUUGUAUGUUAGAAAAAUGAUUAGGUUUUUUCAAUUCUAACUUAGCUGGUACUAGUCAUCGUUCUAACAUAUUGAGUUUUCAUAGAUUUCAGAUGUUGUGAAAUAGACUAUAAUAAACUUUGAAUAGGGACUAUUGUGACUGUAUUUAACUUUAUGUAUUCAAUUCUACAGAUUUCCAUCUCGUUUUCUUAUAAACUGUGUUUAAAAUUAUGUUUUCCUCGAUUUUUUUUUACUUCUGGGUAUGAAUUUUUUAUUUUUAGUUAGACGAUCAAAAUGUUUUCCUAAAAAAUGAGAGAUCAUGUAGGUAGUUUUACGAGCCCAAUAAAAAAAACUAAAAAUAACAAAAAACAAAAAUCAAGUUUUAUUGAUCAUUUGAAAAUCAGAAAUAAUAACCCAGAAAAAAGAAGACGAACUCUCAAUGCUUUAUGCCCAGAAGUAAAAAUAAAAAAAACAUUGUAUCACAACCCAAAGAUUUAUCCGUUACGCUUAGUUAUAAACUAGAGUAAACCAAAAACAAGACAAUGAUAUUUUGUUAAGUUUUAAGAUAUUUUUUUAACAAAGUUGUUGUUGUGUUUAUCUGUGAAGAAUUCUAUUUUAUUAUCUGUCAACUCAUAGCUAAUGAGGAUUUAGACUGGUUUUCUGAGUGGGUUUCAUGAUGUAACAUAAGUUUUUACAGAACAUUAAUUCUGAUAAACUCGUUGCACUCCUUUACGUCGUCGUGAAUUCAUGUAAAAAAAUAUACUACCUACCCGUAACUACAAUAAUAUUACUAUGUUAACGCAACACUUCAUCUCUUAGAUAGAAAAAUGAAACAUUGCAUAAUACCAUUCAUUUUCUGUCUCUACCUGUCAAAAUGACGAUUUCGCUGGAUGAAAAGAGAUCAACGUAUUCUAGUUAUUGGAAUUUUGUAUACCUACUGUACUUUUUUGUUCUUUUUACUGAAAUUACUAAAAACAUCAUGAAACGGUCAGAAAACUCAGUCGAUCACCAGUAAAUCUGUAAAAAUUACUCCUGGAUGUUUUUCGACGAAUUAAAUAUUGUGAAGAACAA
This is a long non-coding RNA of Ostrinia furnacalis (Asian corn borer), 2733 nucleotides long. RefSeq lists it as uncharacterized. The record is from RefSeq and is a predicted model, not a curated record. NCBI's taxonomy places the organism in Eukaryota, Metazoa, Arthropoda, Insecta, Lepidoptera, Crambidae. The transcript is spliced from 2 exons.